This 119-nucleotide small nuclear RNA is filed under the name Microtus ochrogaster (prairie vole). Its description in RNAcentral is "U2 spliceosomal RNA (ENSMOCG00000006669.1)". The stretch from base 1 to 99 matches the Rfam family "U2 spliceosomal RNA". From Rfam's summary of the family: U2 is a small nuclear RNA (snRNA) component of the spliceosome (involved in pre-mRNA splicing). Complementary binding between U2 snRNA (in an area lying towards the 5' end but 3' to hairpin I) and the branchpoint sequence (BPS) of the intron results the bulging out of an unpaired adenosine, on the BPS, which initiates a nucleophilic attack at the intronic 5' splice site, thus starting the first of two transesterification reactions that mediate splicing. The record is from RNAcentral. Lineage: Eukaryota; Metazoa; Chordata; Mammalia; Rodentia; Cricetidae.
AGCACUUCUCGGCCUUUUGGCUAAGAUCAAGUGUAGUAUUUGUUCUUAUCAGUUUAAUAUCUGAUACGUCCUCUAUCCCAUCUCUUUUUUAUAAUAAAAAGGCGGGAGGUUGGCACAAC